This 118-nucleotide ribosomal RNA is filed under the name Propithecus coquereli (Coquerel's sifaka). The record is from RNAcentral. Lineage: Eukaryota; Metazoa; Chordata; Mammalia; Primates; Indriidae.
AUCUAUGGCCAUACCACCCUGAACGUGCCUGAUCUUGCCUGAUCUCAGAAACUAAGCAGGGUUGGGCCCAGUUAGUACUUGGAUGGAAUGUCGCCUGAAACAUCAGUUGCUGUAGGCU